UUAAGUUAUUAAGGGCGCACGGUGGAUGCCUUGGCACUAGAAGCCGAUGAAGGACGUUACUAACGACGAUAUGCUUUGGGGAGCUGUAAGUAAGCUUUGAUCCAGAGAUUUCCGAAUGGGGAAACCUAGCAUGAGUUAUGUCAUGUUAUCGAUAUGUGAAUACAUAGCAUAUCAGAAGGCACACCCGGAGAACUGAAACAUCUUAGUACCCGGAGGAAGAGAAAGAAAAUUCGAUUCCCUUAGUAGCGGCGAGCGAAACGGGAAGAGCCCAAACCAACAAGCUUGCUUGUUGGGGUUGUAGGACACUCUAUACGGAGUUACAAAGGACGACAUUAGACGAAUCAUCUGGAAAGAUGAAUCAAAGAAGGUAAUAAUCCUGUAGUCGAAAAUGUUGUCUCUCUUGAGUGGAUCCUGAGUACGACGGAGCACGUGAAAUUCCGUCGGAAUCUGGGAGGACCAUCUCCUAAGGCUAAAUACUCUCUAGUGACCGAUAGUGAACCAGUACCGUGAGGGAAAGGUGAAAAGCACCCCGGAAGGGGAGUGAAAUAGAACCUGAAACCGUGUGCUUACAAGUAGUCAGAGCCCGUUAAUGGGUGAUGGCGUGCCUUUUGUAGAAUGAACCGGCGAGUUACGAUUUGAUGCAAGGUUAAGCAGUAAAUGUGGAGCCGUAGCGAAAGCGAGUCUGAAUAGGGCGUUUAGUAUUUGGUCGUAGACCCGAAACCAGGUGAUCUACCCUUGGUCAGGUUGAAGUUCAGGUAACACUGAAUGGAGGACCGAACCGACUUACGUUGAAAAGUGAGCGGAUGAACUGAGGGUAGCGGAGAAAUUCCAAUCGAACCUGGAGAUAGCUGGUUCUCUCCGAAAUAGCUUUAGGGCUAGCCUCAAGUGAUGAUUAUUGGAGGUAGAGCACUGUUUGGACGAGGGGCCCCUCUCGGGUUACCGAAUUCAGACAAACUCCGAAUGCCAAUUAAUUUAACUUGGGAGUCAGAACAUGGGUGAUAAGGUCCGUGUUCGAAAGGGAAACAGCCCAGACCACCAGCUAAGGUCCCAAAAUAUAUGUUAAGUGGAAAAGGAUGUGGCGUUGCCCAGACAACUAGGAUGUUGGCUUAGAAGCAGCCAUCAUUUAAAGAGUGCGUAAUAGCUCACUAGUCGAGUGACACUGCGCCGAAAAUGUACCGGGGCUAAACAUAUUACCGAAGCUGUGGAUUGUCCUUUGGACAAUGGUAGGAGAGCGUUCUAAGGGCGUUGAAGCAUGAUCGUAAGGACAUGUGGAGCGCUUAGAAGUGAGAAUGCCGGUGUGAGUAGCGAAAGACGGGUGAGAAUCCCGUCCACCGAUUGACUAAGGUUUCCAGAGGAAGGCUCGUCCGCUCUGGGUUAGUCGGGUCCUAAGCUGAGGCCGACAGGCGUAGGCGAUGGAUAACAGGUUGAUAUUCCUGUACCACCUAUAAUCGUUUUAAUCGAUGGGGGGACGCAGUAGGAUAGGCGAAGCGUGCGAUUGGAUUGCACGUCUAAGCAGUAAGGCUGAGUAUUAGGCAAAUCCGGUACUCGUUAAGGCUGAGCUGUGAUGGGGAGAAGACAUUGUGUCUUCGAGUCGUUGAUUUCACACUGCCGAGAAAAGCCUCUAGAUAGAAAAUAGGUGCCCGUACCGCAAACCGACACAGGUAGUCAAGAUGAGAAUUCUAAGGUGAGCGAGCGAACUCUCGUUAAGGAACUCGGCAAAAUGACCCCGUAACUUCGGGAGAAGGGGUGCUCUUUAGGGUUAACGCCCAGAAGAGCCGCAGUGAAUAGGCCCAAGCGACUGUUUAUCAAAAACACAGGUCUCUGCUAAACCGUAAGGUGAUGUAUAGGGGCUGACGCCUGCCCGGUGCUGGAAGGUUAAGAGGAGUGGUUAGCUUCUGCGAAGCUACGAAUCGAAGCCCCAGUAAACGGCGGCCGUAACUAUAACGGUCCUAAGGUAGCGAAAUUCCUUGUCGGGUAAGUUCCGACCCGCACGAAAGGCGUAACGAUUUGGGCACUGUCUCAACGAGAGACUCGGUGAAAUCAUAGUACCUGUGAAGAUGCAGGUUACCCGCGACAGGACGGAAAGACCCCGUGGAGCUUUACUGUAGCCUGAUAUUGAAAUUCGGCACAGCUUGUACAGGAUAGGUAGGAGCCUUUGAAACGUGAGCGCUAGCUUACGUGGAGGCGCUGGUGGGAUACUACCCUAGCUGUGUUGGCUUUCUAACCCGCACCACUUAUCGUGGUGGGAGACAGUGUCAAGCGGGCAGUUUGACUGGGGCGGUCGCCUCCUAAAAGGUAACGGAGGCGCUCAAAGGUUCCCUCAGAAUGGUUGGAAAUCAUUCAUAGAGUGUAAAGGCAUAAGGGAGCUUGACUGCGAGACCUACAAGUCGAGCAGGGUCGAAAGACGGACUUAGUGAUCCGGUGGUUCCGCAUGGAAGGGCCAUCGCUCAACGGAUAAAAGCUACCCCGGGGAUAACAGGCUUAUCUCCCCCAAGAGUUCACAUCGACGGGGAGGUUUGGCACCUCGAUGUCGGCUCAUCGCAUCCUGGGGCUGUAGUCGGUCCCAAGGGUUGGGCUGUUCGCCCAUUAAAGCGGUACGCGAGCUGGGUUCAGAACGUCGUGAGACAGUUCGGUCCCUAUCCGUCGUGGGCGUAGGAAAUUUGAGAGGAGCUGUCCUUAGUACGAGAGGACCGGGAUGGACAUACCUCUGGUGUACCAGUUGUCGUGCCAACGGCAUAGCUGGGUAGCUAUGUGUGGACGGGAUAAGUGCUGAAAGCAUCUAAGCAUGAAGCCCCCCUCAAGAUGAGAUUUCCCAACUUCGGUUAUAAGAUCCCUCAAAGAUGAUGAGGUUAAUAGGUUCGAGGUGGAAGCAUGGUGACAUGUGGAGCUGACGAAUACUAAUCGAUCGAAGACUUAAUCAA
This 2921-nucleotide ribosomal RNA is filed under the name Staphylococcus aureus DAR5880. RNAcentral describes it as "bacterial LSU rRNA". It matches the Rfam family "Bacterial large subunit ribosomal RNA". The record is from RNAcentral. Lineage: Bacteria; Bacillati; Bacillota; Bacilli; Caryophanales; Staphylococcaceae. RNAcentral also lists the same sequence under 1 other name.